UACGGAGGGGGCUAGCGUUGUUCGGAAUUACUGGGCGUAAAGCGCACGUAGGCGGUUUACCAAGUUGGGGGUGAAAUCCCGGGGCUUAACCCCGGAAUUGCCUUCAAGACUGGUAGACUUGAGGUCGAGAGAGGUAAGGGGAAUUCCGAGUGUAGAGGUGAAAUUCGUAGAUAUUCGGAAGAACACCAGUGGCGAAGGCGCCUUACUGGCUCGAUACUGACGCUGAGGUGCGAAAGCGUGGGGAGCAAACAGG
Molecule: unclassified non-coding RNA, 253 nt
Filed under: uncultured Rhodobacterales bacterium
Lineage: Bacteria; Pseudomonadati; Pseudomonadota; Alphaproteobacteria; Rhodobacterales
Description: contains 16S-23S intergenic spacer region
Rfam family: Bacterial small subunit ribosomal RNA
Source: RNAcentral